UGCUGUGAACUCGAAGAGUAGGGCGGGACACGUGGUAUCCUGUCUGAAUAUGGGGGGACCAUCCUCCAAGGCUAAAUACUCCUGACUGACCGAUAGUGAACCAGUACCGUGAGGGAAAGGCGAAAAGAACCCCGGCGAGGGGAGUGAAAAAGAACCUGAAACCGUGUACGUACAAGCAGUGGGAGCACCCUUCGGGGUGUGACUGCGUACCUUUUGUAUAAUGGGUCAGCGACUUAUAUUCUGUAGCAAGGUUAACCGAAUAGGGGAGCCGAAGGGAAACCGAGUCUUAACUGGGCGUUAAGUUGCAGGGUAUAGACCCGAAACCCGGUGAUCUAGCCAUGGGCAGGUUGAAGGUUGGGUAACACUAACUGGAGGACCGAACCGACUAAUGUUGAAAAAUUAGCGGAUGACCUGUGGCUGGGGGUGAAAGGCCAAUCAAACCGGGAGAUAGCUGGUUCUCCCCGAAAGCUAUUUAGGUAGCGCCUCGUGAACUCAUCUUCGGGGGUAGAGCACUGUUUCGGCUAGGGGGUCAUCCCGACUUACCAACCCGAUGCAAACUGCGAAUACCGAAGAAUGUUAUCACGGGAGACACACGGCGGGUGCUAACGUCCGUCGUGAAGAGGGAAACAACCCAGACCGCCAGCUAAGGUCCCAAAGUCAUGGUUAAGUGGGAAACGAUGUGGGAAGGCCCAGACAGCCAGGAUGUUGGCUUAGAAGCAGCCAUCAUUUAAAGAAAGCGUAAUAGCUCACUGGUCGAGUCGGCCUGCGCGGAAGAUGUAACGGGGCUAAACCAUGCACCGAAGCUGCGGCAGCGACGCUU
RNAcentral lists this ribosomal RNA (820 nucleotides) under Pluralibacter gergoviae. Its description in RNAcentral is "bacterial LSU rRNA". It matches the Rfam family "Bacterial large subunit ribosomal RNA", at positions 395 to 1216 of the family's 2925-position model. Lineage: Bacteria; Pseudomonadati; Pseudomonadota; Gammaproteobacteria; Enterobacterales; Enterobacteriaceae. The record is from RNAcentral.